GCGCCCUUAGCUCAACGGACCAGAGCACCUGGCUUCGGACCAGGGGGUUGGGGGUUCGAAUCCUCCAGGGCGCGCCA
RNAcentral lists this transfer RNA (77 nucleotides) under Deltaproteobacteria bacterium. RNAcentral describes it as "tRNA-Arg". It matches the Rfam family "tRNA". From Rfam's summary of the family: Transfer RNA (tRNA) molecules are approximately 80 nucleotides in length. Their secondary structure includes four short double-helical elements and three loops (D, anti-codon, and T loops). Lineage: Bacteria; Pseudomonadati; Myxococcota; Myxococcia. RNAcentral also lists the same sequence under 2 other names. The record is from RNAcentral.